RNAcentral lists this ribosomal RNA (460 nucleotides) under uncultured bacterium. RNAcentral's name for it is "partial 16S ribosomal RNA". It matches the Rfam family "Bacterial small subunit ribosomal RNA", at positions 338 to 795 of the family's 1533-position model. The record is from RNAcentral.
CCUACGGGGGGCAGCAGUGAGGAAUAUUGGUCAAUGGACGAGAGUCUGAACCAGCCAAGUAGCGUGAAGGAUGACUGCCCUAUGGGUUGUAAACUUCUUUUAUAUGGGAAUAAAAUGUUCCACGUGUGGGAUUUUGUAUGUACCAUAUGAAUAAGGAUCGGCUAACUCCGUGCCAGCAGCCGCGGUAAUGCGGAGGAUCCGAGCGUUAUCCGGAUUUAUUGGGUUUAAAGGGAGCGUAGGUGGAUUGUUAAGUCAGUUGUGAAAGUUUGCGGCUCAACCGUAAAAUUGCAGUUGAAACUGGCAGUCUUGAGUACAGUAGAGGUGGGCGGAAUUCGUGGUGUAGCGGUGAAAUGCUUAGAUAUCACGAAGAACUCCGAUUGCGAAGGCAGUUCACUGGACUGCAACUGACACUGAGGCUCGAAAGUGUGGGUAUCAAACAGGAUUAGAUACCCGAGUAGUC